Molecule: long non-coding RNA, 443 nt
Filed under: Homo sapiens (human)
Lineage: Eukaryota; Metazoa; Chordata; Mammalia; Primates; Hominidae
Description: non-protein coding lnc-FGF23-3:1
Source: RNAcentral
CCCGCUGUUCAUUUCCAUGUGACAAACAUGUUACGUGUGCAGAGCAUGUCCAAGGUACUGUGGGAGCACAUGAGGCAGGAGAAGAAAGAGCGUGGUGAAGCAGGAAGGAGCCUCACCCACCUCCAUGUACAGCAUGUGGAAAGAAGAAUUUCUCAAGACUUUGAGUAAGAAGAAGGAGCAGCGACAGCAACAGUCCCCACUUGGACGGGACUGUAAUGAAAAUGAGGAUGACAGAAGCUGUAGUUGGGCGCAGUAGUACAACCGUGUAUUUGUGUACCACGGCCGAUCCACAGUGCCUGCUAGCUGUUUUAACAUAGAGCUUUGCAUCCAAUUCUCAUAACGUGCCAAAUGCUUGGUAUUAUGGUGUACCCUAUACAGCUGAGGAAAACAGGGCUCCUGACCCUUGAGAAACUUCUUGAAAGUCUCACCUACAGCCAGUAAAA